AACGAACGCUGGCGGCAGGCCUAACACAUGCAAGUCGAACGCUUCAGCAAUGAAGAGUGGCAGACGGGUGAGUAACGCGUGGGAACCUUCCCAGUGGUACGGAAUAGCCCAGGGAAACUUGGGGUAAUACCGUAUAAGCCCUUCGGGGGAAAGAUUUAUCGCCAUUGGAUGGGCCCGCGUCGGAUUAGCUUGUUGGUGAGGUAAAAGCUCACCAAGGCGACGAUCCGUAGCUGGUCUGAGAGGAUGAUCAGCCACACUGGGACUGAGACACGGCCCAGACUCCUACGGGAGGCAGCAGUGGGGAAUAUUGGACAAUGGGCGCAAGCCUGAUCCAGCCAUGCCGCGUGAGUGACGAAGGCCCUAGGGUUGUAAAGCUCUUUUGGCGGGGACGAUAAUGACGAUACCCGCAGAAUAAGCUCCGGCUAACUUCGUG
This 433-nucleotide ribosomal RNA is filed under the name uncultured bacterium. RNAcentral's name for it is "bacterial SSU rRNA". It matches the Rfam family "Bacterial small subunit ribosomal RNA", at positions 29 to 507 of the family's 1533-position model. The record is from RNAcentral.